Otolemur garnettii (small-eared galago) is the source of this 164-nucleotide small nuclear RNA. Its record names the gene U1. It matches the Rfam family "U1 spliceosomal RNA". From Rfam's summary of the family: U1 is a small nuclear RNA (snRNA) component of the spliceosome (involved in pre-mRNA splicing). Its 5' end forms complementary base pairs with the 5' splice junction, thus defining the 5' donor site of an intron. NCBI's taxonomy places the organism in Eukaryota, Metazoa, Chordata, Mammalia, Primates, Galagidae. The record is from Ensembl.
AUACUUACCUGGCAAGGGAGAAACCAUGAUCAUGAAGGUGGUUUUCCCAGGGCAAGGCUUAUCCAUUGCACUCCAGAUGUGCUGACCCCUGCAAUUUCCCCAAAUGUGGGAAACUCGACUGCAUAAUUCAUGGUAGUGGGGGACUGCUUUCAUGCUUUCCUGUU